GACAGGGGAUGCAAGCGUUAUCCGGAAUCACUGGGCGUAAAGCGUCUGUAGGUGGUGAUGCAAGUCACUGGUGAAAAACUCUGGCUCAAACGGAGGAAAGCCAGUGAAACUGCAUGACUAGAGUGUGGGAGAGGUAGAAUGAAUUCCCUGAGUAGCGGUGAAAUGCGUAGAUACAGGGAAGAACACCGGAGGCUAAAGCGUUCUCCUGGAAUACAACUGACACUGAGUGACGAAAGCUAGGGGAGCGAAUGGG
This 253-nucleotide ribosomal RNA is filed under the name uncultured bacterium. RNAcentral's name for it is "partial 16S ribosomal RNA". It matches the Rfam family "Bacterial small subunit ribosomal RNA", at positions 524 to 776 of the family's 1533-position model. The record is from RNAcentral.